RNAcentral lists this ribosomal RNA (388 nucleotides) under uncultured bacterium. RNAcentral describes it as "bacterial SSU rRNA". It matches the Rfam family "Bacterial small subunit ribosomal RNA", at positions 29 to 417 of the family's 1533-position model. The record is from RNAcentral.
AUUGAACGCUGGCGGCAUGCCUUACACAUGCAAGUCGAACGGCAGCGCGGGGGCAACCCUGGCGGCGAGUGGCGAACGGGUGAGUAAUAUAUCGGAACGUACCCAAGAGUGGGGGAUAACGUAGCGAAAGUUACGCUAAUACCGCAUACGAUCUAAGGAUGAAAGUGGGGGACCGCAAGGCCUCACGCUCCUGGAGCGGCCGAUAUCUGAUUAGCUAGUUGGUGGGGUAAAGGCCUACCAAGGCAUCGAUCAGUAGCUGGCCUGAGAGGACGACCAGCCACACUGGGACUGAGACACGGCCCAGACUCCUACGGGAGGCAGCAGUGGGGAAUUUUGGACAAUGGGGGCGAACCCUGAUCCAGCAAUGCCGCGUGAGUGAAGAAGGCCU